Molecule: ribosomal RNA, 252 nt
Filed under: uncultured bacterium
Lineage: Bacteria
Description: partial 16S ribosomal RNA
Rfam family: Bacterial small subunit ribosomal RNA
Source: RNAcentral
UACGUAGGGGGCUAGCGUUAUCCGGAAUUACUGGGCGUAAAGGGUGCGUAGGUGGUUUCUUAAGUCAGAGGUGAAAGGCUACGGCUCAACCGUAGUAAGCCUUUGAAACUGGGGAACUUGAGUGCAGGAGAGGAGAGUGGAAUUCCUAGUGUAGCGGUGAAAUGCGUAGAUAUUAGGAGGAACACCAGUUGCGAAGGCGGCUCUCUGGACUGUAACUGACCCUGAGGCACGAAAGCGUGGGGAGCAAACAGG